This 139-nucleotide non-coding RNA is filed under the name Peptoniphilus sp. RNAcentral describes it as "Lysine sequence". It matches the Rfam family "Lysine riboswitch aptamer". Rfam says of the family: Riboswitches are metabolite binding domains within certain messenger RNAs that serve as precision sensors for their corresponding targets. Lineage: Bacteria; Bacillati; Bacillota; Tissierellia; Tissierellales; Peptoniphilaceae. The record is from RNAcentral.
UUUUAAGAUAGAGGUUGCGUCAGAAGGGUAACGUACAUAGUGAAGGUUUCUGUCGCCGAUGGCAUUUUUGAUGCCAGGUUGAGUGAGAGUAGAUUUUACCAACUGUCAUAUCUUGAUGAUAUGGAGAGCUAUUUUAUGU